AUUGAACGCUGGCGGCAGGCCUAACACAUGCAAGUCGAGCGGAUGAAGGGAGCUUGCUCCUGGAUUCAGCGGCGGACGGGUGAGUAAUGCCUAGGAAUCUGCCUGGUAGUGGGGGAUAACGUCCGGAAACGGGCGCUAAUACCGCAUACGUCCUGAGGGCGUAAGUGGGGGAUCUUCGGAUCUUAGGCCAUCAGAUGAGCCUAGGUCGGAUUAGCUAGUUGGUGGGGUAAAGGCCUACCAAGGCGACGAUCCGUAACUGGUCUGAGAGGAUGAUCAGUCACACUGGAACUGAGACACGGUCCAGACUCCUACGGGAGGCAGCAGUGGGGAAUAUUGGACAAUGGGCGAAAGCCUGAUCCAGCCAUGCCGCGUGUGUGAAGAAGGUCUUCGGAUUGUAAAGCACUUUAAGUUGGGAAGAAGAGCAGUAAGUUAAUACCUUGCUGUUUUGACGUUACCAACAGAAUAAGCACCGGCUAACUUCGUG
RNAcentral lists this ribosomal RNA (484 nucleotides) under uncultured bacterium. RNAcentral describes it as "partial 16S ribosomal RNA". It matches the Rfam family "Bacterial small subunit ribosomal RNA", at positions 30 to 507 of the family's 1533-position model. The record is from RNAcentral.